RNAcentral lists this long non-coding RNA (3363 nucleotides) under Sorghum bicolor (sorghum). RNAcentral describes it as "long non-coding RNA (SBIC_LNC012475)". Lineage: Eukaryota; Viridiplantae; Streptophyta; Magnoliopsida; Poales; Poaceae. The record is from RNAcentral.
CUUAGAAGAGUAUCUUGCAAAAAGCAUCAUCAACUUCCUUUCCUUCCUAAAAAUACAUUGGGAAAAAUUCAAGGAUGGCAUGCCAAGUGAUGCCUUAGUAGGAGAGCCAAGCCACUUAGAAAUAAAUUUUAUCUUCUCCCCGUCUAUGCCCAUAUUAACUGUCUUUGAACCCAUCUCUUAACCCAUCCUUGACCCAAUAAAUCUUUUAUGCUCCUUCUACUAAAACUUCUUAAUGACCUUAGAAAUCCAUCAAGACAUGCUAAGAAUAGGAGUCAUGAAGAUUAUAGGAAUACCUAAGAAGAGCAACAACAAUAGUAGGAACGCGUAGAACAUAUUAGACAUACAUAGGCUAUUGUCAAAGAAUGGAUGGAAGAAGAUGAAGUUUUAGCACUAGCAUCUAAACUUGUUCUAAAUUCAAAUGUUAAGCUUAAAUCAAUUUUUUUGAUAAACAAAACUCACCCAAGUUUAGAGAAAGCCUUAGACGAGACCAACCUUAGGGACAUCAAUUCAUGGGAAAUCCUAGAAAAUAAAAUAUCUAAUAAAUGUCAUAGGCAUGAAAUAAUAGAGGCAAACUUAUUGCCUAUAGACAACCAUGAAGAGACACCCUUGGAGUUUGAAAAGGGAGAUCAUAUUGUCGAGCAUGUGAAUUAUUUCAUUAAAAACCCUAUCAGACCCAUGCUCAUAUGAGAAAUAUCCUAGAGUAAUUAGUCUCUAAUAUUAUUAGACAUGAGAUCCUCAACCCCCGUAUUCUACCAAUUAAUAAAAUCAUAAAGAGGGUGGUUAUAGACACAUAUGUUUACCAUAAAUAUUGUAGAUCUUGUUGUGGUGAAUAAUACACUUAGAUCGGUGUUGCAAGGAAAACCACAUCUUGAAGGUUUCCCAAGUACAAGCUUAGUGUCCUAAAACAAGCACUAUUUAGACCAUGAUAUGAGUGUUCUUCUACUGUGUUACCCUUAUUAAUUGAGCAUAGAAUUAUAAUUAUGAAAAUAUUCCUUCAGGUAUUCUUGUCACUAACCCUCCAAGAUUAGAGUAAUAAGAUCGAAGGAGUGAUAAAUGCAAGGUAUGUCCAACCAAUCAUUAUGCAACAUUGAAUUACUUACAUCCAAUCUUGAUUUUUGAAAAAGUCUAGCUUGGAGAUACAUCUCCUGCAAUAUUGCUAUACUAUCUUGGUUGUCCCUACUUUUAAGAUAUGCUCAAUUUGCUACGAUUAUAGAGUCUAUUUUGUGUAGUCAUAAAAUACCGAAAAUAUGUGAGCACAUGAAGGUUCACAAUAGUAUCAUAAGAAAAUAUAAAAAAAUACCAAAAAUAUAUGGGCACAUGAAGGUCCAUGUCUUUAGAGUCUCCUGAGUCCAAUAGAAAUGAUUAAAAAACCAAACAAAAUAUGUAUCUAUAUAUUAAGGUGUGAUCAUAGAGUGUGUCUACAGUCAGUCUACUUUAGAGUCAAAUAAAAAUUAGAGAAUAUUAAAAAUUUUGUCUUGGAGAUGACGAAUAGUUGAUCUGCAGUAAUUCCUUUCAAGUGCCUAGUUUUCAACCAUGAAUUCUCCUGAGUUUUAGACAUGACCACUUUAAGAGUUUACUCUGAACCUAAAUUUUGUGGAGGCAUAUGUUUAAGCUGAGUCUAGGUAAUUGAUAUUAUACAUGAAGGUCUAAGUUGCUAUUUGUCUUAUUCCUAUCAUUACUAAGUUCUAGAGAUUUAUUUUCAAAAACCCAAAAUCUUACAUGAUGAUCUCUUAUAUGAUAAAGUUUAGAUUCCUACCAAAGCUAUAUAUGAUAAAUUUAGAGUUAGGGAAACCUUUGCACAUUCAUGCUUCUUGCUUUACAUUGAGUUUAGUCAACCUUUGGAGUAUACCUUAUGAGAGUCUUGUCAUGCUUUUAAAAUUAAGAUCACUUACGCACUCCACCCACACAUGCAUUACUCCUACUCUGGGACGUAAGCACAAUCAUUUUCACCUUCAUCCAGAUCCACCUUAAAAAUGUUCUUUCUCCUACACUAGGAGUAAACACCCAAAAAUAUACCCUAUAGGAUAGCCUCAAUUUAAUUGCUCUAAGUUCUUAACAUUAUCUCUCCGAUUAUUUAAUUCAAAGGAUGCAUGUGGCUAUGCAAAAUUAUUUAAAAAGAAAAAAAGAAAAAAAGAAAAAAAGGGAAGUAAAAGAUGGACAAGUGUCCCAAUAAUUAAAACAAUGGGUACAUCGAUGCCCGCCUCCCACAGUAAUGAAAAAAAUAGAAUAAAGAUAGCCCAUGUUUUCGUGUGAAAAGUUCAAAGGAGGGAGUAAUUUUCAAAGAGCAAAAGUAGAAUUAGGAUUAGCCACUAAAUACUAUAUAUACACCUAUCUACCAUAUUUCAUACACAUGCACAUCUUGAUUUGAUUAUACGCCUUGAUUCUCUAUGGAUCCAUUGUUUGACUUUGCAAUAUAUGAAAUGCAAGUAUGUUCAUCCUUGUUAUUGCCACUCCUAUAAGUUCCACUAUAUAUAUAUCCUUAGUUGUAGGAAGGCAUAACCUCAUUAAUGGCUCAGUGAAAUCCGUAAAUACUACAUAAUAAGAGACUUGAGGGUGUCAUACAAUUAAGCUCUGAGUUUUAUUUGAAAAACUUGCAAAACUCCAGAAUAUUGGUACUGUGAAGAAUUUGAGACAUAGUGCUUGACUUGAUUGUUUUAUCUUUCAAUUACUCAAGACUUAUGCAAAAGCUGUAAAGCUCCAUGGUUAAAGGUAAAAUGGGUAAGUCUGAAAGUUAGACCAGAGGACAAUUUAUGUUUAAAAGCAAGUGUACUUAAAAGAAUUGGAAGUAUUGUAGCAACUCCUGAUCCAUGUUUAUUAAUUAGGCUUGGGUCUAUGGACUGGCAAAAGGUAAGUUUGGGGAAAUUGUUGACGAUUGAUAACGUCAACUUUUAUUAGAACUUUAAACCCGAAGGAUAACAUGAAUACACAUUAGUAUAGGGUUUAAACUAACAAUUUUUAUGAGUUUUUGCAUAUUCUGUAUUUUCUAGGGUUUAUUUCAUAGAAAGCUGAAAAGGGGGAUUCUAGUGCAUAUUUACCACGAAAAUCAUUCGCGUCGGAAAACAUCACGAGAAGACUCAAGAAGGGUCUAGAAGACCCCCGAAGGAACGAGAGCCGUGGAGGAGGAAAGCUGGGGCCGACCGGCCGCACCCUAGGGCCAGUCGGCGCCCUAGUUUGCCCGAUGGCGGCCGCCUUGUGGAGUCUUCCUCCCACGCCUCCUUCGAAGCUAAGCAAAGUAUCCCUCUGUCGAUUUUAAGUCGGUUUGAUCCGAUGGUGCACACAAUAUGAAGACACAGAUCACUGACAUGGUGAUUCCUUGCCCCCUACUCCACCUCGGCCUAUAUAAUGACGGCCAACGCCCCCCCA